Molecule: long non-coding RNA, 3337 nt
Filed under: Glycine max (soybean)
Lineage: Eukaryota; Viridiplantae; Streptophyta; Magnoliopsida; Fabales; Fabaceae
Description: long non-coding RNA (GMAX_LNC000908)
Source: RNAcentral
UUUUAUUGUGGCAAAGUUACUACUAAUAUAGUAAAGGUGCAUUUAUCUGACACAAACACAAUGGUGACACUGACACGCGUGUGAAGUCUGAACACAGAAAAAAAUAAAAAGAAUACUCGGUGUAGUAGUAUUAAUAUGAGACCUGCACAAAUGGGACAACACAUCAGAAGCAUCGAUGGAGAUGAACACGGAUCGACGGCGGCGGCGGCGGCUCGAAGUUCAAAGGAGAGGGUUGAGCUCCGGGAAGGAGGAAACAAGAGGACACGUGUCGGGUAACGAAGGGGGACGCGGCUGUUACCUUGGGGAAUUCCUCUUUCACUGAUCUGAUAGCGAAACGUGUCGGUGACGUUAGAAUCUGAAUCGCAAUAUCUGGGGUCUCAAUCACUUCAUCCACGAGUGGUGCUGCUUCCACCACCCUUCGAUCAUAUCCACUCUGCAGACAGAAUCUUCCCCCUCACCGUCUGAUCCAUCUACAGGAGGUUCUUGCUUCUUACAUCUUUCUCAUUCUCAACACUACUGUACCCAAGGUCCAAGAAGAAAGAAUAAAUAUAAUAUAAUUAUGCACACACUUUCUUUUUCAAUAUUGUAUUUUUUUAAGGGAAUAUAUUUAUUAGAAUUUCAUAAGAUUUUAAUUUUUUUUAAAAAUAUUGAGAUAUUAAAUCAAAAUUUUCAAAUAAUAAAAAUAAAUACUGUAACAUUCAAUCAAAAUUAUUAGAAUUUAUAAAAAAAUUUCAAGAAAAUUUAUUGGUAUUUAGUUAAGAUUUUUGGUAACUUAAAAAAAGUCUCAUAAUAUUAAAAAAUAUACAAAUUUCGAUGAAUUAUUUCUUAUAAUAAAUUAAUGAAUUUUAUGGAAUUUUUUAUGAAAAAAAUAAAAAUUAAACAAUUUCAUCAAAACUUUUAAAAUUUAAUGAGAUUUUCAUUCCUUCUUACAAAUCGAUAUAUUUUUAUUUUUUUUAUCUUAUACAAUCUUCUGUUUCUUUAUUGAAAGUGCUAUAUAUUCAUAUUUUUUUUCCACUUUUGAUCAAUUAUCAAUAUAUUUGAAACAUGUGAUAUGAGAGAUUUAUCCAUUUUUUGAAUUUGGAAAACAUCCAGAGACGUGUAUAUACAUGUAAACGAACGUGAAUAUAUAUAAACAUGAAAAAUAUAUGAUUUUAAUAAAGAUGAGAAGUUGAUUCAUAUAUAAGUGAAUAAAUAUAUAAAUGAGAUUUGAAAUUAUUGUUGGACAUGUUUUUUGUUUGGUGGAGUUGUUAUUGUUUGAAUGACUACAUUAUUUAUAUGACUAGUAGACAUUGUAGUAUAUAAUUUUUAUAUAAUUAACAUGAUUGAUGAUUGAAGGGGAAUUAACUUAUUGUACUUAUAAAUAUGUUAGGAGAAAUUAAUUUAUUAUGUAAUAGGUUUAGGAUUCUCUCUAUAAGAUAAGUUUUAUUUAAAGUAUUAAAUACCCAAAUUUCAUGAAUCUUUAUUAAUAAUUUUGAAUAUUUUUAAAAAAUUGAUGGAUUUAAAAUCUUGAAAAUCCAUAAUAUCCUUCCUAAUCUUAUGGAUUUAUAUUUUGUAAAUUCAUUAAUAUCUGAAUUACAAAAUUCUAAUUAUAAAAUUGUUUAAAAAAAUCUUAAAAGUUAUUAUAUCCAAAAUAUUCUUUUAAAAUCUUAAUCACAUACACUUCCUUGAGUCUUCAUAUAAAAAGAUCAUUUUAACAUUUUAAGUAAAAAAUAUUAUAUAAAAAAUUAUUUUUGGGACCUUUUUAAUGAUUAUAUAAAAUCUAUACUUUUUUAAAAAUUUAAAAUCAAAUUUAUCAAGAUAAAAAUAUAAAAACUUUAGCAACAUUUGAACAAAAAUAUAAAAAUUCAAAAAAUAUUUUUAUUAAUAUUUAGAAUGAUAUUUUAAUAUAUAUAUAUAUAUAUAUAUAUAUAUAUAUAUAUAUAUAUAUAUAUAUACACACACAUACAUAUAUAUAUAUAUAUAUAUAUAUAUAUAUAUAUAUAUAUAUUGUAAAAUAUGUUUUUAUUGAAGUUUUAUAUUUUGUUAUUCUAGAGUUUAAAUACAUAUAACUAUUAAAUUUAUUUUAGGUUCUUAAUAAUUUUUUGAAUUUUCUGUUUAUUUUAUUAGAUAUCAAAUAUAUUAAAAUUUUAUUUUGGAUUCUUAUAAAGCGAUGAUGGGUCAGUUAAAAAAAAAAAAUCAACUGUUAAGAAACUAUCACUGUUUGUUUUGAAUUUGAAAUGACUGAUUGCUUUUAAAUAAAUAUUAAGGAUUUUUUAGUAGUUAAAAAUACAUUUUUAAUUUUUUAUGAAUAUUUUAUUUAUUCCUUAACUGAGGAAAGAGAUUCGAAAUAAAUUUUUUAAUAUAUAUCUAACAAAAAAAAUUAAAAAAAUCCAAAAUAAAUUAAAAAAAAUUAUAAAGGUAUAAAACAUAUUUAAGUUUAUAUAUAAUGUUGAAAUUAAUAUGUCACUUUAAUAAAUUUAGUUAGCUUAAUAUUAUCCCUAAUGUAUUAGGUCAUAAUGGGAUCGUGUUUAAGUUCAAGUGAAUAACCCUAAAUUCUUAUUUACAUCAAACACACUGGUGGAGUUUGCCGUAUGAGCCCAAGUGAGAGGCUUGGAGGAGGAAUCUAAACAAUUCCAAAUUUUUCCUUUGGGAAGCUCCGUGGUCAAGUUCAUAAGUUAUGGUCAUAUUUUAUUUAUCAAGAUAAAAAUUACCAUUAUAAUACAUAAGUCAAGUGAAAGAAUGUUCAAAUAUUAAAUUGAAUGUGACUCAUACAUCGAUAAUAUUUAGAGUAUAUAGAUUUUAUGUAACUGUUACAAGUUUUGAAUUAUUAAUUUUUAAUUUGUAUUAUUGAAUCUUAAUGGAGUAAUCAAUACAAGGGACAAUUAAAUUGUUGUAAUUCAUGAGAGAUCUCUUAACUUGCCUGUAAAAUGUUUGUGAUAUUCCAUUGAUUCACAUAUUUCAAAAGGCAAAGACCAUUCUUUGUUUUCUUUCCUUGCUUAGUUGUAAGAGAUUAUGUGAUAAAGAAUUUGAUAGCAAUGAUUAUAAGAAGUAUGUUUAAUUUUGCUUACCGAAUAGUUUUUUUUUUAUUCAGCGCUUACUAAAUAGUUUACUCUUGUUUAUAUUAUGAUCUAAUGUUUUAAAUUUCUUAACAGGCCAAAUGCCCAAUGCAAGGAAUCAAUAUAGAAAUUCUCUUCACGAAAAAGUGUGAGAAAUAGUUACACACUACUCCUUAAUCCUUAGUCCUUAACAAGCAAAAACUGUAAGUUCCUAUAAUGAUAGGGCCAUAUUUAUGGAAAACGAUGGAUACAAUUCGACUAAUUCCGAAUCUUUAGCCAGAAUUCCAUGGAUUAGAAAUGGC